Monomorium pharaonis (pharaoh ant) is the source of this 394-nucleotide long non-coding RNA. RefSeq lists it as uncharacterized. The transcript is spliced from 2 exons. Lineage: Eukaryota; Metazoa; Arthropoda; Insecta; Hymenoptera; Formicidae. The record is from RefSeq and is a predicted model, not a curated record.
GUUGCGAAUGUGGUUAACGAAAUUUUUGAACGUGGCUGAUGCAAUCGGCUGUAUUUAUAUCUGCUAUUCCUUUUUGCAUCCUCAACUUCAGCAUUUUUAUCUAUUACAUCACGGCAUUUUUCAUUACUUAUUACGCUCAUCAUAGCUCAACAUAUAUUAUUAUACCUCAUGGUCCUAUCGUCCCAUAUCUUCGGAGGGAUUAAGAAGAGAAGUGUAAUGUCAAGAGCUGCGUUCAGUUUCACGUAUUAUGCGCAUCAUACGUGGAACAAAACGCAGCUAAAUUGUUAAGCUGCUGCAAUGCAAUAUUGUAUCUGUUGAUUGUGUGGAUCGGUGCAAACCUCAAAGAGAGGUAGAUAGCUUUUUUGGAGAUUUUAAAUAUGAUAUAGUUACGAAA